Molecule: ribosomal RNA, 510 nt
Filed under: uncultured bacterium
Lineage: Bacteria
Description: partial 16S ribosomal RNA
Rfam family: Bacterial small subunit ribosomal RNA
Source: RNAcentral
GACGAACGCUGGCGGCGUGCUUAACACAUGCAAGUCGAACGAAGAGCGAUGGAAGCUUGCUUCUAUCAAUCUUAGUGGCGAACGGGUGAGUAACGCGUAAUCAACCUGCCCUUCAGAGGGGGACAACAGUUGGAAACGACUGCUAAUACCGCAUACGAUCCGACCUCGGCAUCGAGGAUGGAUGAAAGGUGGCCUCUAUUUAUAAGCUAUCACUGAAGGAGGGGAUUGCGUCUGAUUAGCUAGCUGGAGGGGUAACGGCCCACCAAGGCAAUGAUCAGUAGCCGGUCUGAGAGGAUGGACGGCCACAUUGGGACUGAGACACGGCCCAGACUCCUACGGGAGGCAGCAGUGGGGAAUCUUCCGCAAUGGACGAAAGUCUGACGGAGCAACGCCGCGUGAGUGAUGACGGCCUUCGGGUUGUAAAGCUCUGUUAAUCGGGACGAAAGGUCUUCUUGCGAAUAGGUAGAAGAAUUGACGGUACCGGAAUAGAAAGCCACGGCUAACUACGUG